UACGUAGGGUGCGAGCGUUGUCCGGAAUUAUUGGGCGUAAAGGGCUCGUAGGCGGUUUGUCGCGUCGGGAGUGAAAACACACAGCUUAACUGUGUGCUGGCUUCCGAUACGGGCAGACUAGAGGUAUGCAGGGGAGAACGGAAUUCCUGGUGUAGCGGUGAAAUGCGCAGAUAUCAGGAGGAACACCGGUGGCGAAGGCGGUUCUCUGGGCAUUACCUGACGCUGAGGAGCGAAAGUGUGGGGAGCGAAC
Molecule: ribosomal RNA, 250 nt
Filed under: uncultured bacterium
Lineage: Bacteria
Description: partial 16S ribosomal RNA
Rfam family: Bacterial small subunit ribosomal RNA
Source: RNAcentral